This 468-nucleotide ribosomal RNA is filed under the name uncultured bacterium. RNAcentral's name for it is "partial 16S ribosomal RNA". It matches the Rfam family "Bacterial small subunit ribosomal RNA", at positions 28 to 507 of the family's 1533-position model. The record is from RNAcentral.
GACGAACGCUGGCGGCGUGCUUAACACAUGCCAGUCGAACGGAAAGGCCCUGCUUUUGUGGGGUGCUCGAGUGGCGAACGGGUGAGUAACACGUGAGUAACCUGCCCUUGACUUUGGGAUAACUUCAGGAAACUGGGGCUAAUACCGGAUAGGAGCUCCUGCUGCAUGGUGGGGGUUGGAAAGUUUCGGCGGUUGGGGAUGGACUCGCGGCUUAUCAGCUUGUUGGUGGGGUAGUGGCUUACCAAGGCUUUGACGGGUAGCCGGCCUGGGAGGGUGACCGGCCACAUUGGGACUGAGAUACGGCCCAGACUCCUACGGGAGGCAGCAGUGGGGAAUAUUGCACAAUGGGCGGAAGCCUGAUGCAGCAACGCCGCGUGCGGGAUGACGGCCUUCGGGUUGUAAACCGCUUUCGCCUGCGACGAAGCGUGAGUGACGGUAAUGGGUAAAGAAGCACCGGCUAACUACGUG